This 247-nucleotide ribosomal RNA is filed under the name uncultured Lactobacillus sp. RNAcentral's name for it is "partial 16S ribosomal RNA". It matches the Rfam family "Bacterial small subunit ribosomal RNA", at positions 116 to 356 of the family's 1533-position model. The record is from RNAcentral. Lineage: Bacteria; Bacillati; Bacillota; Bacilli; Lactobacillales; Lactobacillaceae.
CGUGGGGAACCUGCCCCAUAGUCUGGGAUACCACUUGGAAACAGGUGCUAAUACCGGAUAAGAAAGCAGAUCGCAUGAUCAGCUUUUAAAAGGCGGCGUAAGCUGUCGCUAUGGGAUGGCCCCGCGGUGCAUUAGCUAGUUGGUAAGGUAAAGGCUUACCAAGGCGAUGAUGCAUAGCCGAGUUGAGAGACUGAUCGGCCACAUUGGGACUGAGACACGGCCCAAACUCCUACGGGAGGCAGCAGUG